GUAGGUGGCAAGCGUUGUCCGGAAUUAUUGGGCGUAAAGCGCGCGCAGGCGGUUCUUUAAGUCUGAUGUGAAAGCCCACGGCUCAACCGUGGAGGGUCAUUGGAAACUGGAGAACUUGAGUACAGAAGAGGAAAGCGGAAUUCCACGUGUAGCGGUGAAAUGCGUAGAGAUGUGGAGGAACACCAGUGGCGAAGGCGGCUUUCUGGUCUGUAACUGACGCUGAGGCGCGAAAGCGUGGGGAGCGAAACAGGAUUAGAUACCCUGGUAGUCCACGCCGUAAACGAUGAGUGCUAAGUGUUAGGGGGUUUCCGCCCCCUUAGUGCUGCAGCUAACGCAUUAAGCACUCCGCCUGGGAGUACGGCCGCAAGGCUG
This 372-nucleotide ribosomal RNA is filed under the name uncultured organism. RNAcentral describes it as "partial 16S ribosomal RNA". It matches the Rfam family "Bacterial small subunit ribosomal RNA", at positions 527 to 896 of the family's 1533-position model. The record is from RNAcentral.